This 253-nucleotide ribosomal RNA is filed under the name uncultured bacterium. RNAcentral's name for it is "partial 16S ribosomal RNA". It matches the Rfam family "Bacterial small subunit ribosomal RNA", at positions 524 to 776 of the family's 1533-position model. The record is from RNAcentral.
UACGAAGGGUGCAAGCGUCGUUCGGAAUUAUUGGGCGUAAAGCGCGUGUAGGCGGUUCGUUAAGUCUGAUGUGAAAGCCCGGGGCUCAACCCCGGAAGUGCAUUGGAUACUGGCGGACUUGAGUACGGGAGAGGGAAGUGGAAUUCCGAGUGUAGGGGUGAAAUCCGUAGAUAUUCGGAGGAACACCGGUGGCGAAGGCGGCUUCCUGGACCGAUACUGACGCUGAGACGCGAAAGCGUGGGGAGCAAACAGG